UACAAGCGGCAUUUCAAGCAAAAACUUCAAAUUAUCUACAACACGCAGUGUUCAACAGGACCAGGAUUCAAUCAAAGCCGCUGCAAUGACAGGAUCCUGUACAGAGAAUAAAAAGAAAACAAGACGCUUGAUAGAUAAUUCAUCUGGGUUCCUUCAAAUAGCCUCCAUCAUACAGUUUGGAGGAACACCUCAUACCUGAGAUAUAUAUAAUGUCAAAUCCUAGUAUUCUAAUAUAGCUAUUAGUCUGACUUGCAUCAAGCAACUCAGUAGUUGCUGCUUGGAGGGUUAAAAUUUAAGCUACCAUAACAGAACAAUUCAAUAUAAAGUUGCUUAGUCUGUUUCUGCCACACUCAAGAGGCCUCCAUUGCAGUCGCUCAGCUUCAGCAUCCGGGCGGCAGGUGUAUAUUGCCAUGCCAUCUCCUGAAUAAGAGACCAUGGAUGUUGAUGAACCGAUUAAAAGUAGCUCGUUGCCCAGAGACUUGAAGGCUACACCCCAUCCUCUUGAAGAAUCAGCUCGUACUGGGACUGGCCCGAACUUCCUCCAUGUUUUGGUCCUUUUUGAAUACACUUUCAGCUCAUUUGAUGAAGUCUCCAGCGAGUAAAGCUCAUUGUUCACAACAGCAACAAGAGGUGGAGAUUGGAAAGUAGCAACAGGAGUAUCCUCCAACAUGUCUGGGACGAGUUCCCAUUUCUUUUUAUCCUCAUCAUAGGCUUCUCCACAAGUAAGACAUUUUCCCUCCUCAUUUCGCCCACCGAUCACAUAAAACUUGUUAUCCAUGUAAAAACCUGAGCAGAGCCUCCUUUUCCUUUGCAUCCUUGGAAGGGUUUCCCAUGUCUUAGUAUCAGAAUUGUAUUUCUCAGCAGACUUUAGAACUGCACCAGCCUCUGUUACCCCACCAGCUACAAAAGCAAAGGGGCCACAGGAAGCCGAAGCAAACAGACACCUAGGUGUGAUCAUUGAAGGACCCUUACUCCAGCUAUUUGUUUCCAAUUCAUAUCUCCAAACAACAACACCAUCUAUCUCCCUGCCUGAAAUGAUCAGAUGAGUCCCUGCACAAACUGAUUCUUUGUCUCCUGAAGAAAAACAAGAGUCUGCUGGCAAGUCUGGAAGCUUACGACGAGAACUAAAUUGUCGAGCAAAUCCCCACCAACCACUGUCUCCAGUUGUAAAAAUAAAAACAGAUGAUUCUUUGACCCCAAGUUCCCUCCUAAUCUUAAAGAGUUCACCAGUCUUCGUAAGAGCAAAUAUUCGUUUGUUCACCAAUGGAAAUUUCCAGUACUCUGAUCUUGGAAUCCUUGCCAAAAUCUGAUUCUCUACCUCAUCACUGAGCUGGGGAACUUCGGAGUAAUCUGCAUCCUGAGGUUCUAAACUUGAGGAUCCAUCAAC
This 1387-nucleotide unclassified non-coding RNA is filed under the name Hevea brasiliensis (rubber tree). The record is from RNAcentral. Lineage: Eukaryota; Viridiplantae; Streptophyta; Magnoliopsida; Malpighiales; Euphorbiaceae.